Molecule: ribosomal RNA, 424 nt
Filed under: uncultured prokaryote
Description: bacterial SSU rRNA
Rfam family: Bacterial small subunit ribosomal RNA
Source: RNAcentral
UGGGGAAUAUUGGACAAUGGGCGCAAGCCUGAUCCAGCCAUGCCGCGUGGGUGAAGAAGGCCUUAGGGUUGUAAACCCCUUUCACCGGUGACGAUGAUGACGGUAGCCGGAGAAGAAGCCCCGGCUAACUCCGUGCCAGCAGCCGCGGUAAUACGGAGGGGGCAAGCGUUGUUCGGAAUUACUGGGCGUAAAGGGCGCGUAGGCGGUCUGUCGCGUCAGGUGUGAAAGCCCCGGGCUCAACCUGGGAGGUGCACUUGAUACGGGCGGACUGGAAUGCGGGAGAGGGUGGUAGAAUUCCCAGUGUAGAGGUGAAAUUCGUAGAUAUUGGGAGGAAUACCGGUGGCGAAGGCGACCACCUGGACGGGUACUGACGCUGAGACGCGAAAGCGUGGGGAGCAAACAGGAUUAGAUACCCCCGUAGUCC